GUGCACCAGUCGAGAAACUUUACAAUGUGCGAAAGCACGAUAAGGGAACUCUGAGUGCCUCCUAAGGAGGCUGUUCAGGUGUCUAAAAGCACCUGAAGGAAGGGCUGGGUAAGACCGGUGCCAGCCGCCGCGGUAACACCGGCAGCCCAAGUGGUAGCCACGUUUAUUGGGUCUAAAGCGUCCGUAGCCGGCUGGGUAAGUUCCUUGGGAAAUUUGGCUGCUUAACAGUCAAGCUUUCAGGGAAUACUGCCCGGCUUGGGGACCGGGAGAGGUCAGAGGUACUCCAGGGGUAGGGGUGAAAUCCAUUAAUCCUUGGGGGACCACCGGUAGCGAAGGCGUCUGACCAGACCGGGUCCGACGGUGAGGGACGAAGGCUAGGGGCGCGAACCGGAUUAGAUACCCGCGUAGU
This 409-nucleotide ribosomal RNA is filed under the name uncultured microorganism. RNAcentral describes it as "bacterial SSU rRNA". It matches the Rfam family "Archaeal small subunit ribosomal RNA", at positions 330 to 745 of the family's 1478-position model. The record is from RNAcentral.